CUCUAGGUUCCCCUCAACAGGUUGCUCCCUGUCCAGGAUCCUUAUUCAGCUUGGAUGUGGAGUUGAGACAGGGCUGCCUACAGCAGUGAGUUGGGAGCCCCAGAGGUGGGGACUAUUAAUCACUCGGAGGUGGCUUCAAGGUAAAACCAAUUUGUCAUCUUCAGCCUAGAGUAUCCAGGAAGUGAAUUGAAGAAGUUGAGUUUUAUCACAGGCUGCUAACUCAACAAAGCAGGAAAAUAAUGGGAUAAUUUCUGUGCCUCAGGUUUCUUCCAACUGUGCUAGGGAGAGAUGGCUAUUGGGCUUUUAUUUUAAGCCUGGAGAGGGUGGAUUCUUAUCUCUAAAUUGUUCUAUGAGCCAUCUGAAUAACCAGCCUCUACCCCCCCAUGAUUGGAUUAGUUUGCAUAUUUGAAUUUAUUUGUUAGGGUGGCUCUGAACACCAAAUCAGUUGUGCUGGAUCAGCAGUAGGACAUGGAAACGCUAUUCAGUCCUUAAAGUGCCAGGCUGAUGGAGGCUCUGCUGUCCUCAACAAGUGGCUUCCAAGAUCGAUCAUCCUCGGUGCUCACAUCCAGACAGAUGGAGGUGAAAGACACUGGAGAAUUGCUCAGGAACUUUGGUCAGAUCAUUGGUCAGAAGUCACAUUGGCCAGAACCUAGUCACAUGGGUUUACUUACUGAAAAAGAGGCUGGGAAAUAGAGCCUAGCUUGCCCAAGUUGAGAGGGAACUAGGUCUGGUGAACAGCUGGCCAGAAGGGAAACCAGAGUCGGUGGUGCUUGGGCCAAAGUUACCUAAUUUUGUAAAUCCUGAAAUAUUCCCAUAUUGGACAAUUAAAUGCAUUCAAUAGGAUAAUUUUCAAUUUUAAAUAGUAAAAAAAGAAGAAAAUACGACCAAUGAGUACUUUAGAACUUUCUACACCAUUUUAAUUUGAUCUCUUGUAAUGUUUUUGGAGUUCUUUUUAUUUCUGAUUUUAGAAAUGUGUAUCUGGCUCACUUUAUGACUUGUUCAUUAGUUGCUUGUCUCCCCAACUGUUUCCUUGAACUCCAAGGGAAACCUUUAUGAAUUUAUCCCUGGCCUUCUCCAUUUUCUGAAAUGAAGACUAUAAGGAUGAAUUAAAAUUUAUGGCCUCUGAACAAAAAUGUUUGCCUGGGUCCUUCCCCUGGUCAUUAAAGUGCAGUUUCUGGGAUCAGACCCCAGCACUGCCCCUCCAGUGGUAGAUUCUACACUAGUGCACCAACCUCCUCAUGCCUUUUUCAUCCCAAUCGAUGCAUGAAAAUACUAAUACCAAUCUCACCAGACUGUGGUGAGAUGCAGGGUAGCAGUGUCUGAUGCACAGUAAGCAUGAAAAUAGUCUGUGUCAUUGCUGUCACUGUUGACUCCAAAGUCAAUGAGCCACCCACUGGAGCUCAGCUGUGCUCGGGCUGUGUGGAUAAGAAGGCACAUUUAAGCUCAGAACAAAGAUGUGGUCAGGGGGUGCUUUCCCACUGGCUCACCUUGGAAGUGUCUCUUUAGGUUCUCUCUUGAAACAAACCUUGUGUGUUCUUAAGCCCUCACCACACUGUGACUCAGUUUCCCCACUGAUAAAAGGGGGUACAACGGUUCUAAACUUGUUUGUAAAACAUGUUGAAAGCCUCUAAAUAAAGGUGGUAUUUA
Molecule: long non-coding RNA, 1647 nt
Organism: Manis javanica (Malayan pangolin)
Lineage: Eukaryota; Metazoa; Chordata; Mammalia; Pholidota; Manidae
Source: RefSeq, a predicted model, not a curated record